This is a long non-coding RNA of Corvus hawaiiensis (hawaiian crow), 747 nucleotides long. RefSeq lists it as uncharacterized. The record is from RefSeq and is a predicted model, not a curated record. NCBI's taxonomy places the organism in Eukaryota, Metazoa, Chordata, Aves, Passeriformes, Corvidae. The transcript is spliced from 2 exons.
GCUGCCGGAGCGCCGGGCGCCGCGCCGCUGCCCGGGCUCAUGCUAGUCCCGCCGGACCCGUGCUAGUCCCGCCGGGCUCCGCGCUCCCCCGCGCGGCACCGGCUUGCAGGCGCCCGCGUACAAAGCCCCGCGCACAGCAGGGACCCGGCCCCCUCUCGCCCGCUCCCGCUCCGCCUCCUUUCCGUCCGUUCGUCCUUCCUUCCUUCCUUCCUGGCGGUGGCGGCGGAGCGCUGGGGCCGGCUCCGCAGCACCGGGCACCCCGCAGCACCGGGCUGCGGCCAGCGGGCAGGGAGAGCUGCGGGCAGGGCGGCCUUGCGGGCCGGGCCCUGGCCAUCGGCCCUUCGGGCACCACUCCCGCCCCAAGCCAGCCGCGGGGCGAAUGGACAUAGGCGAGGGAAGGGCGCCGGGAGAGAUCUGCAUCCCCGGGGCACCCCUGCGCAGAGCCUGCGGGGUUCACCCACGCAUCCUCCGCCGCCUUUCCCCAUCGGCGCCUGAAGAACCGGCUCUCGCCAGGAGGGUCUAGUCAGUCACACCGCCACACUGAAAACCCACCACACUCCACAAGGAUAUCCAGGACACCCGGCCUGCCCCCCUCGCUGGCGCUCAAAGUCUUCUGACAUGGUAUCUGAAAGAGUACUCCCCUUUGAAGAGAGGAAUUCAGAGCAAGUUUUCUCCUGCUCUUGAAUUGUUUGAAGUCAAGUGUUGUUACUGGGAUGAAUCAAAUAUAUAAUUAAAGACCAAGUUUAA